This 598-nucleotide ribosomal RNA is filed under the name Abundisporus pubertatis. Its description in RNAcentral is "eukaryotic LSU rRNA". It matches the Rfam family "Eukaryotic large subunit ribosomal RNA", at positions 66 to 648 of the family's 3401-position model. The record is from RNAcentral. Lineage: Eukaryota; Fungi; Basidiomycota; Agaricomycetes; Polyporales; Polyporaceae.
UAACAAGGAUUCCCCUAGUAACUGCGAGUGAAGCGGGAAAAGCUCAAAUUUAAAAUCUGGUGGUCUCUGGCCGCCCGAGUUGUAGUCUGGAGAAGUGCUUUCCGCGCUGGACCGUGUAUAAGUCUCUUGGAACAGAGCGUCAUAGAGGGUGAGAAUCCCGUCUUUGACACGGACUACCAGUGCUUUGUGAUGCGCUCUCAAAGAGUCGAGUUGUUUGGGAAUGCAGCUCAAAAUGGGUGGUGAAUUCCAUCUAAAGCUAAAUAUUGGCGAGAGACCGAUAGCGAACAAGUACCGUGAGGGAAAGAUGAAAAGCACUUUGGAAAGAGAGUUAAACAGUACGUGAAAUUGCUGAAAGGGAAACGCUUGAAGUCAGUCGCGUUGUUCAGAACUCAGCCUUGCUUUUGCUUGGUGCACUUUCUGGAUGACGGGCCAGCAUCGAUUUUGACCGUCGGAAAAGGGCUGGAGUAAUGUGGCACCUUCGGGUGUGUUAUAGACUCUAGUCGCAUACGGCGGUUGGGAUCGAGGACCGCAGCGCGCCGCAAGGCAGGGGUUCGCCCACUUUCGCGCUUAGGAUGCUGGCAUAAUGGCUUUAAACGAC